GCCACUGUGGCGUAGUGGUUUGAGUGUUGGACUUCAACUCUGGAGACCAGGGUUCGAUUCCCAGCUCAGCCA
Molecule: transfer RNA, 72 nt
Filed under: Phrynosoma platyrhinos (Desert horned lizard)
Lineage: Eukaryota; Metazoa; Chordata; Lepidosauria; Squamata; Phrynosomatidae
Description: tRNA-OTHER
Source: RNAcentral